RNAcentral lists this ribosomal RNA (465 nucleotides) under uncultured bacterium. RNAcentral describes it as "partial 16S ribosomal RNA". It matches the Rfam family "Bacterial small subunit ribosomal RNA", at positions 28 to 507 of the family's 1533-position model. The record is from RNAcentral.
GAUGAACGCUGGCGGCGUGCUUAACACAUGCAAGUCGAACGGAAAGGCUCCUGCUUGCAGGGGUACUCGAGUGGCGAACGGGUGAGUAACACGUGGGUGAUCUGCCCUGCACUUCGGGAUAAGCCUGGGAAACUGGGUCUAAUACCGGAUAGGACGAUGGUUUGGAUGCCAUUGUGGAAAGUUUUUCGGUGUGGGAUGAGCUCGCGGCCUAACAGCUUGUUGGUGGGGUAAUGGCCUACCAAGGCGUCGACGGGUAGCCGGCCUGAGAGGGUGUACGGCCACAUUGGGACUGAGAUACGGCCCAGACUCCUACGGGAGGCAGCAGUGGGGAAUAUUGCACAAUGGGCGCAAGCCUGAUGCAGCGACGCCGCGUGGGGGAUGACGGCCUUCGGGUUGUAAACUCCUUUCGCUAGGGACGAAGCGCAAGUGACGGUACCUGGAGAAGAAGCACCGGCUAACUACGUG